RNAcentral lists this ribosomal RNA (838 nucleotides) under uncultured bacterium. RNAcentral describes it as "bacterial SSU rRNA". It matches the Rfam family "Bacterial small subunit ribosomal RNA", at positions 524 to 1381 of the family's 1533-position model. The record is from RNAcentral.
UACGAGGGAUGCAAACGUUAUCCGGAAUUAUUGGGCGUAAAGCGUUUGUAGGCGGGCGAGUGUGUUUAAUGUUAAAUCUUAAAGCUCAACUUUGAAAUUGCGUUAAAAACUGCUUGUCUUGAGUAUGGUAGGGGUAAAGGGAAUUCCCAGUGUAGCGGUGAAAUGCGUAAAUAUUGGGAAGAACACUAAACAGCGAAGGCACUUUACUAGGCUAAUACUGACGCUGAGAAACGAAAGGUAAGGUAGCGAAACGGAUUAGAUACCCGUGUAGUCUUACCCGUAAACUAUGGACACUAAACGGUAAAUUUUUAAUUUACUGUUAAAGCUAACGCGUUAAGUGUCCCGCCUGGGGAGUAUGCUUGCAAAAGUGAAACUCAAAGGAAUUGACGGGGGCCCGCACAAGCGGUGGAGCAUGUGGUUUAAUUCGACGGUACACGAAGAACCUUACCAGGAUUUGACAUGCUAGAUAGUUGCUUGAAAGAGUAACGUGCCGUAAGGAAUCUAGACACAGGUGGUGCAUGGCUGUCGUCAGUUCGUGUUGUGAAAUGUUGGGUUAAGUCCCGCAACGAACGCAACCCUUGUCUUUAGUUAUUUUCUAAAGAGACUGCCUGUAAUAAACAGGAGGAAGGUAAGGAUGAGGUCAAGUCAUCAUGCCCCUUAUGUCCUGGGCUACACACGUGCUACAAUGGGAAAGACAAUGAGCUGCAAAUCUGUAAAUUUAAGCAAAUCUCUUAAACUUUCUCGUAGUUCGGAUUGUGGGCUGCAACUCGCCCACAUGAAGUUGGAAUCGCUAGUAAUCGCCAGUCAGCUAUAUGGCGGUGAAUCCGUUCCCGGGCCU